UGCACUUGAUCACUUGAAGAUUCACGCAAAAAGUUCAUUUUAUGCUAAUGCUUGCGCCUGAUAUGAUUCAAGUAGAACAACAGGCAAUACGUAAUUGCUAUCACCGUUCCACAUUAUUGAAUUAGAUGAAUUUAUAGUAAAAGCUACUUGUCAAGAUGAGCUUUUUUCCAUGUACUUCCUGCAUGCUGUAUACCAAACUAUGUAAAUGCUUAUUUCAGUCGCAACGAGCUGUACUCUCUGUUAAAUGCUAGAUAAUAAUCAUCUGUCAUUUUCUUUUGCCAUCUGCAGGGGUAUCACAGAGACAUUCUUGGGCGCCUGACUCCACCUCGUGCAAGUAUACUCGUUCAUCCUCCACCUCCUGUAAUUCUUGAAACCCGGCAUACCUCACCAUUUGUUCCAACGUCAACUGUCAUAACCACUCCAAUCAAAAAGAUUCCCACGAAGCGUGGGAGAGAGAGGAAAUCCAAGCGUCAUAGAAAAGUCAUUGCUGGAAAUAGAGAUCCUAAUUUCAAUUGAAAAUUUUGAUGUGAGCACAAAUUAUUUUAUUUUCCUUCCCUGUUUUCAGUAUAUCAAAUCGCGGGGUUAGGAACUGUGAAAGAUGAAUGUUCUAGCUGUUGUUUCCACAAAAAAAAAAAAAGGUCAGUAUUCAAGUUCUUCAUAAGAUUCUUUACAAAGUGUCAAUUUUUUGUUUAAUUUUUUGUUGUAUAUAUUGGAGUCUUAGUAUGUAUUGUCAUAGCAAUUUUACACUGCAAAUUGCCUUCUCUAAUCACUAGCUUCAUGUACUGUUUCUUCUCAUAGAAAUGUUGAUUAUGAAGCAAAGAUGAAAUUCAAUUUCCUUUAUACUGAUGUCUGUUGUGUUGUGAUAAGUUUUUUUUGGUGUGUUGUUAUAAGUAAUUUUCGAGAGAAGCAAUUUGUGUUUGACAAAUCAAUUUGAAAUGUUAUUGGCCAGGGGUCUACCAGAAACAACCUCUCUAUCUGUCAAGGUAGAGAUAAAAUCUGCAUAUACUCUACUCUUUUCAGACUUCAUCUAUAAGACUAUACUAAUUAUAUUGUUGUCAAAUUUAUGCUACUAUUAUAAAAAUAACAUAGAUUAUAGAUGAUUAUGCAAAUAUUAUGGAUGGAUUAUGCAUAUGUUCUAUUAUAUAUUAGCCAACUAUUUUUAGUUUAAACCUGAGUGGAUAAUAUUAUUAAUUCUUAAAAAAAGACAAAUACUUUUGUCUUUUAAAAAAUUUGACCAAAUAAAAUAUGGUUUGGGUUCAUUGAACAAAUACAUAUGCUAAGAUUCUAGGGUUGAUAUAUAUAUAUAUAUAUAUUAAUUUGAAGCACUAGAUGUGCAAAUUCAACUAAACUCGUUACUUUCUUAUCGAUUGAUUAUCGAUUGAUAAGUGCAUGUACAGAAUAUUAUAGACUAGACUAUGUUAAAAGGCCAACAACUUCUUUAAAAAUUAACUGAGGCAAAAGUGGUGAUGCACCACCACCAAAAUUCACGAUAUUCUGUGACUCUGAAGGAAUUCUUAUCAAGUUAGUUCUAACGUAAGGUAGUUUAAUUCGAUUUAAAUUUAUAAAAUUUAAAAAAUUUAAAACUUGUGGUCUAAAAUGAAAUAAUAGAGAUUUGUGUAGCUAUUAAUCAUUCAUUAACGAUAAAAUAGAUAUUUUAAAAUUAAUUUGUUACUCCCUCCGUUCACUAUGGUUUCUAUUUUGAGUCAAACUAUAAGAAUUUUUACUAACAUUUUAAUAUGUAUUUUUCAUCAUAUUGAUAUGCAAAAAUUUGCAAUUUAUAGUACUUUUCAUAUAGUUUUUGAACAUCUAAUUUUUUUGUUUAAAAUAUCAAAUUAAUGUAAUCUAAUUUAACUUUAAAAAUAAUCAAAUUGACUUUCAAAUAAUGCAACAUGACAAAUAAGAAUGGACAGAGAAAGUACUUACUAUAGAAAUGUCAUUCUUUUUUAGACUAACUAUAUGAAAAAAACAAGUCAUAUUAAUUGAUAUAUAUAAAAAAACAAGUCAUAUUAAUUGAUAAAAAAGUGUAUCACUUUUUAAGAGGAUGCAAUAUAUUUUUUCUAUCCUAUUUUAUAUGAGAUAUACUUUUCUUUUAAGGGCGAAACAAUAUUUUAAUAUUGAGAUCAUCUGAACUAUGGAAAAUAUAAACUUAAAUAUAAAAGUUAAAACAAAAUACUAACAAAAUAUGAACUUAUAACUUUAAAAUAUAAUGUACUUCGAGAUGACUCAGUUGGUUUGGAGGGUGGUUAUCCGCACGGAUGACCCGGGAUCAAUUUCCCCUCAAUAUCUUUUGAGUAGAUUCUGUCGCGUAUGACUUGCCUCGUGUGAUUUACAUUCCAUGUGUGGUUUGCAUGCUAUUGCACGGUGGGAGGUUUAUCUAGUGCACAUAAAGUGCUAAUCCGAAGGACAGAAAAUGUGACAAAGAUUAUAGCGACUACAAGUUAUCCUAAAACUCCAAAAAACUUUUAAAAAUGACUUAACAAUUAAUAUUCAGUUAAACAUCAUCACAUAAUUAACUAAGACAUAUAAGGGAGUAUUAUAAAUAGAAGAAAAAUGUGCACCAAAAAUUAUCCAUCAAAGAAAAGAAACCAAUAAUAUCCUCUAUAGUCCAUGGCAACAACAGCAAAUGGAAUGGCGCCAGAAGACGACUCGACGGUCGUCCCGUCGAGAACUAAGUGUCCGGCGCCAUUCUUGCUAAAGACUUACGAACUUUUAGAGGUGGAGGUGGAGAUGGAGGCGGAGGCUGAGAAAGAAGAUAAUAUUAGAAAAAAUAAUAAUAAAGGUAAUUUCAUGGAAUGAAGAGGGAAAUGGAUUUGUUGUGUGGUAUCCUGAUGAAUUUUCACAUAGGAACAUCUAAAAGAAAUGUUAAUUGUCGCUAAAAAUACAUAUUUAACAGUAAUUAAGAAUUAAUACCACUAAUAAUUAUUUUUGAUCUAGUGGAUAAAAAUCUAAUAUGUUUAGCCGCCAAAUUAUUUAUACUUUUCAAACUUAUGGUUCUUGAAUAUCUAGCUAAUAAAAUAUAGAUCAAAUGCAAUUUUGAAAAUUAGUCAAAGUUAACUUUCAAUAAGUCAAAAAUAUCGUCAUAACAAAUUGAAAAAAAUAGUAAUUAUGUAGUAAUUGUUAGUAGAUUGGAUAUAAGAGAAGUAUUUGUAUAUUAUUUAGUAACUUGUCUAUAUAAUUAUGUAGGAAUUGUUAGUAGAUUGGAUAUAAGAGAGUUAAUUGUGUAUGUUAAUAAUUAUGUUGAAUUUUACUAAGAUAAAUAAUUAAUGAUUAUUCAAAUAAUAAACUCGCACACCUUUGAGGUAUGAAACUAAAAUAAUCAAAUAAUACUAGUCAAAAUUCUGGAAAAACAGUUUUAUUUUGACUUAAAUUAGUCAACUUUUUAGAAUAUGGAAUACAAUGAUUUUAUGAAUGUUGGAACAAUUUUUUAAAUUUUAUUUGCACUUCUUAUUUUCUUCUCUAGCCUUACCUAACCAUACACACUAGGCAAUAUUAACUCCUUUUUUUAAAAAGUCGAAUUCAAAAUUUAGAAUCGCUGAGUGAGUUUGAUCAUAAGUAUGAUCUUUUAAAUUCCUUUUGCAUUGAACAAAUAUCACAUAUCUUGAAUUUGUCUAUGCUUUACGGUCUGUUAAUUAAUUUCAUUACAUAUAUAGUUUCGAGUUUUUUUUUUGUUAAUUAAUAUUUAAGUUUUUAGGAAUUCGAUGAAUCUUAUUAAAUGUAGAUACUUUAAUUAUUUUUUUUGGUAUAAGUUAAGUAUGUACAAUCCUCGAGUCGAAUACUAUGUUUGAAUUGAACAAACAUAAUGUACAUGCUCUAAAUUCGCCUCUGCUUUUACUAUAAUAAAAGGAUGAAUUACAUGGAAUUUUCUUAAAAAUUAGUAUGAAAAUUUGAUACCACUGAAAUCAACAUAAACUCUACUAUAAGCUUGAUUGAACUCGACUCUUAUUGAGACCUAAUUAUAACUUGGCAUACUUCUUGAUAAUCACAUCAGCAUCUUUGACAUUUUUUGGUAGAGGCAUGUUUGUCUUGAUAGUAACUCUUGAUGUAGAAAUCAAAAUUCUUUCCCCUAAAAUUAAAGAAUCAUUUUUCCACAAAUUCACUUCCCAAACAUGAAUUGAUUUUCCAACAUUGAGAGGUUUAGCCUCAGCAUAUACAAUUUCACCAAGAUUUGCACUUCUUAGGUGGUGGAUGCUGAGGUGGACCCCAGCCACCCUUUCGAACCCGGACGCCACGUGGGCGCCCAUACUAGCCAGAGAUUCAGCUACUAGAGCCGAGACUCCACCAUGCAACACAUUAAAAGGGUUGCAACAUUUUUUAACCACCAAAAAGUAACCGAAAAUUUUCUGAGGAGAAAUCUCUGAAAUUUUAAAACCGAUAACAUCGAGUGGUGCAUCUAAAAUCUCUUUCAUUGGAAUUGAUUUUGUUAAUUGCUCCAUUUUUUUCCUUUUUUCUUAUCUUUUUUUUUUUUACUUCCUUUGAUUUUCUCUGGAAUUCUUGGAAAUGAUGUUGGGAAAUUGGAACCAAAAAAUGAAUUUAUAUAGAAUUUUUUUUUUUCGGUUUGGAUUUGUUUUCUACUUUUAAAAAAAGAGAUAAAAAAAGAUUUGUCUGAGUCAACUUUUUUUUUUUUUUUUUUUUUUUCUGAGUCAACUUAUGUGUAUAUCUUAUUAUGUUUUUAUAUGAAGAAAUGGAUAAAGAUGAAAUAAAAGGAUAAAAAUACAUAUUAUUUUUUUUACUAGUCAACUUUAGCAAAUUAAAAAAUAAUAAUUUUAAUUUAUCUUUUUUAUUAUGGAAAAUUUUUCAAAAUGUCAAUAUUUUAACAUUUAAGAGAGCUCAUUAGCAAUACUUUUAAUAUUUAGUAAAAGUGUCAAAUUUUAAUUUGUUAUGUAUCUUAUUUAUGUUUUUAUUAUUUAUUUUUAUUUAAAGAAUAUAAUUAUUUAAUAACAAAAGGGAGAAAAUCAAGGGAGAGAAUAUUUCAAAAAAAAUAAAAUAUAUAUAUAUAUAUAUAUAUAUACACACACACACACAUACAAUCCUCGAGUUGAAUACUAUGAUUUGAAUGGAACAAACAUAAUGUGCAUCGAAAGUUUGUCAUUUUACGCUUAUCGAAAGUUAAUUUGAUUAAUUUUUAAAAAUUAAUUAGAUCACAUUAAUUCGAUAUUUUAAACAAAAAAAUUAGAUAUUCUAAAAGUACAUGAAAAGUACUAUAAAUUACAAUUUUUUGCAUGUUAAUAUGAUGAAAAAAUACAUCUUGAAAUGUUAGUCAAAAUUUUUAUAAUUUGACUUUAAAAUUGGAAACCAUAACAAACAAUUUCGGAUGAAGAGAAUAGUUUGUUAAUGAAUUUUGUUACAUAUAUAGUUUUGCGUGUUUUUUUUUUUUUUUGCAUAAUUAAUUUCGAAUUUUUAAACCAAAUAUAGGGAUUCAAGAAAGUGUCAUCCAAAAAGUGCGAAUUCUCACAUAAGUUCAAGAAGGGAAAUAAAGUGAUAAUGCAUAAAUACUCCCAUAAUUUAUGUUUGAAAUUUCAUAGACACACUUAUACUAUACUAAAGUUUUAUUACCUCCAUAAACUUAUUUUAAUAAUAAUUUUUGAUCACUUUUCAGCCUACGUGACACUAUCUUGUAAGAUCAACACUGAUUGACUUCUUUUUUCAAUGUAAUGCCACGUAGAUCGAAAAGGGGUAGAAAAUUACUUAUAAAAUAAGUUCAGGGAGGUAAUGGGACAUUAGUAUAGUAUAAGUGUGUUUCUAAAAUUUCGAACAUGAGUUGAGGAGUAUUUGUGGAUUUUCCUGAAAAUAAACAUUUACUUGCAAAAAUAGCCAUAAAAAAGUGACCAAAGUGUUUUUCCUUUAUAUUUAAACUUUAAAGUCAUGUUCUCAUGAAGAAAGCCCAAAUGUGGCUACAAUUGAAAGACAACAGUUGCUUUAGAAUGUGUGUGUGUGGGGGGGGGGGGGGGGGGACUACAAUUGCAAAUGCAAAUUGCUCAUAAAAUUGUUGAAUUGCCUUUCUAAGUAUGUAGGCAAUCAACAAAAAUAAAAUUAAAAGAUGACUUUUGUUUAGCCAACAAAAAUAAAGUUAAAUUUUUUUUUUGUUGAAAUAAGUAAAUUGCUUUAUUUUUAGACAACUAAUUUUCUUUUCAUAUUCAUAAAGUCUAAGAUUAACUGAAAUGGUAUUAUAUGUGUUGUUCAACAAAUAAGGUUAAUAUUGAUUUCCCUUAUCAACAUCUCUUAAUCGAAUUAGAUGCACCAAACUUAACUUACGUAUAACAAGGUUUACAUCUUCUAUUCGAUUUGCGAGCUAUUUGAUAUAUAAAAUUCAUAUCUCAUGUAAAACAAUUUUUUUUAUAUAUAUAAUUUAUGAUCUUUAAGAUAAAGUAAGAAAUUGUAUUAAAUUUUAUAUCGAUCAGAUAAUUAGAUAAUUUAAAAUAAUCAAACAAACACUAAAAGUUUCUAAUUCACAACUAGCAAAGCUUACUUGACUCAACUCACUUGAUUGAAUUCGACUUGACUAGAUGAAUUCAAACUUAAACUUUAUUACAAACUCAAUUGACUCAAACUUUAUUGCAAGCUUAACUGAAUUUGAUUCCACUCUAUCAAAUCAACAUAAACUCUAUAACAAGAUCGAUUGAACUUAAUUCGUUAUCGAGACCUAAUUAUAACUUGGCAUGCUUCUUUAUAUUCAUAGCAGCUUCUUUGACAUUUUUUGGUAGAGGCAUGUUUGUCUUGAUAGUAACUCUUGAUGAAGAAAUCAAAAUUCUUUCCCCUAAAAUUAAGGAAUUAUUUUUCCACAAAUUCACUUCCCAAACAUGAAUUGAUUUUCCAACAUUGAGAGGUUUAGCCUCAGCAUAUACAAUUUCACCAAUAUUUGCACUUCUUAGGUGGUGGAUGCUGAGGUGGACCCCAGCCACCCUAUCAAAUCCGGACGCCACGUAGGCGCCUAUGCUAGCCAGAGACUCGGCUGUUAGAGCCGAGACUCCACCAUGCAACACCUCAAAAGGGUUGCAACAUUUUUCAGUCACUGAAAAGUAACCGAAAAUUUUAUGAGGGGAAACCUCUGUAAUUUUAAAAUCGAUAACAUCAAGUGGUGCAUCUAAAAGAUCUUUGAUUGGAAUUGAUUUUGCUGAUGGCUCCAUUUUUUAUUUUUUUUUGUUUCCUUUGAUUUAUUUUCUCUUGGAUUCUUGGAAAUGAUGUUGAGGGUUGGAAACAAAAAUCAAUUUAUAUAGAAAUUUAUUUAUGGAUUUGGAUUUAUUUUCUACUUCACAAAAAAAUAAAUAUAAAAAGAGUUUUUUUUUUUUAUUAAUUGAGGAACUAGAUUGAUGAUGACAUGAUAGUAAUUAUGUUUUUGCUUUGUGGUUGGAACAGUUUUUUUUUUUUUUUUUGUAAAAUAAUGUUGUCUGAGUAUAUUUUAUUAUGUUUUUUCUUAAUCAACUUUAGCAACUUAAGAAAAAUAAUCUGAGUUUAUCCUUUUUAUUAUCAAAUAAUCAUUGUUCAAAUUAAUUGAAAUAUUAAUAGUCGAUAGAUAAUAGAUAACAUGUGAAUAUUUUUAUAUUUUUUCGUUAAUCUCGAGAAAUGGAAGAAAUUUAAUUAGCAGAAAAUUAGUUACCGAUUUAAGAAUGUAACAUGUCAUUUUUAUUCACAUUAUAAUAAAUAUUUUUAAAAAAUUGAAAAUCAAGAUAAAGUGAAGAUCGAUCGAUUUAUAUUGUUAAAUUAUCUUUAAUAAAGAUAAUUUAAUUAAAUAAAUACUUAAUUAAAUUAUAUUGUUAAUCAAGAGUCGAUAUUCUUAUUAAAAUAAUUCAGGUGAUAUUUAAAGUUUCAAAAAAUAGAUUAUCAACUUAUGCAAUCAGAGCAUAUAUAAUAGUCACAAAUUUAUUUCUUUUUCCUGAUUUAUCAAUUCAUCAUAAUUUAAUUUUUUUAAAAAAGAUAUUAAAUUGCUUGUGGCAAAAGUUGCUUAUAUUAUAACGUAUAAAAAUUGAACUCUAAUUUCUUUUGUUGUUAGGUGUAAUUAAACUCUGUAAACGUGAUUUUAUUACUUUCUUGUAAAGGUUAGGAUCUCUUCUAUAGAUUCGUGACUCAAGUAAAAUAGGAAAAUGACAUUUAUAGGCAUAUUGUAAUUAUGUUUUUAAUUAAGAGUCGAUAUUCUUAUUAAAAUAAUUUAAUAUAUAUAAAAAAAUAAACACAUAAAAAAUUCGAUAAAGCAAUAUUUAUUAUUAUACUUUAUAUACAUUUAAGAGACAAUGUAUAUAUACUAAAAAAUAACUUUAAAUAUACAAGUAUCUGAAUUUUGAUCGAAAGAAAUUCGAAAUCAAUUGCACUCAUUACCUCAUGUUUCAUCUCAAAAUAUAUCAAUUAUUUGUAGUUAUUUUUAAUCGAUCUGAUUAUAUGAAUUGCUUUUUGUGAUAAAUAUAAUUCAAAAUUUCUUUUUUGGUUUCUAAAUAUUUAAUAUACCCACUUUAAAAUCUAAUUAAAAUUGAAAUAUCCCACCGCAAUUCUUGGUCUUGGUAUCAUUUAAUGUCUUAGAAAGUUAAGCUUUAAUAAUAACCUCUAUAAAAUAAUAUUUUUCUUAGAUCUCAAUCUAGGCUAAUGAAAAUAAUUAUGCAUUUCAAGAAGAUAAUGAAAUAAUAUAGUUUCAGAAGACUUUUUUCAUGAAUAUAUAGUUUCAUUAAUAUCAUAAAUUAAUAAUUUUUAAAAAUACAAAUAUAUCUAAGAUAUUUUAGUGAAAUAUGAUUUUUGAUAUUUUUUUUGGAUAAAAAUUUUAAUCUAGUUAAAACUCAUCUCUAACUUUUCUUAUUGCAUCCGAGAGUUUCGAUGUUGUCUUUUCGAACUGUACCAUAAAAUUACAAUUUUAGAUGCGAUAAAUAUUUCCUUCUGCAUAAUUGGUUCCAAAAUAUCAUAUCAAAAUCAUUUUCACCAUCAAUGUUGCUUUUCUAAUUCAUUUUCACCAUCAAUCCGAUGAUAUCCACAAUUUCUUCUUAGCUAUAAAACUCUAAAUAUAUAACAUUGUUCUAUAUAUGAUAAGUGUUUUUCGAGCUGCAUUAUAAAUUUAUUUUUUAUGUAAAUUUAAUAAAUAUGAUUCAUAAAUUAGUAAGAUGCGAUGAUUUUGAUAUUGAAUCUCAAAAUACUCUUUAAAUUAAUAAUAAUUAAUUUUAUCGAUUAAAUAAUACAUUUACAAAAUAAUAAUAUUUCACGAUCUCACCUGUAUUAAUUUGAUGAGAUUUUACUAUAUAAUAUAUAAAGUUCACCUCAAAACAUAUUUAAAAUAUCUUUCUUCUUUGUUUCACGAAUUUCAUAUAUCAACUAUCCCUUAUUUUAUAAUAUAUAUAUCUAACCUAUCACUUUCUUUGUAAUAAUACACCUUGAUAAUGAGUUAGAUCAAAUAUUUAUUUCCAAUUGAUAUCACACGUGUACAAGGCAACUGUCAAACACCUCUUUGUCGAAAAAUUACACGAUAUAGUUAAAAGUAAAAAUAUUUUUUUGACACUCCUUGAUUUCUACGCGAUUUUACUUCUUUAUAGUUUGGCACCUCCUGAUCGAAGUUCUAACUCCGCCAUUAUAUACAACCACUUUCUUUGUAUUAAAACAUAUCUCAACAAUAGUUGCUUAAAAAUUUGUUUUACAUUCGAUAAUAGACAUGUCUAAAUCAACUCAACGUCAACAUAUGUUUCAAUACAAAGAAAGAGAUGAAUUGAAAUAUAAAGCUCAAAGAAAAUGUGAUGAUUUAGAUAGGUAAAUAGAGAUUUUUCUCGAAAGGAGGCAAUUUGAUAAUUAACUCUUUCUUUUUUUUAGGUCAACUAACAUUCUUGACAAAAGAACCAAGUAAAACUGUUUCAAAAAAUUUAUAAAAAUGAAUAUUACUUCUACAUUGACUAUCUACUUCAUUUAAAUACAGGAUUGCUAUAAGAAUGUUAUUUGUAUGGGAUAAAUUAUGAUAAGAUUAUUUUUUAUCAAACGGUUUGGUUUGUUGUAUUCGGGAAUAAGUUAUCCUGAAAUUACUAUACGACUCAAGGUGAGGUCUAGCUUAUCCCGAACUACGAUUCUUUCAUGGAUUGGGGCAUUAAUUCACAAACUAAAAUGGCACAGGAGGAAAAGGCAACAAAGUUCAGCUAUGCUGCUACACGAGAUACCUUUAAAUGUGUCAUUCCAACUUGUUCAGGAAGGGCUAAAAAUUUUCAGCCAGUAUACAUUUCAAAUCGAUACUGACAUAGCAUAACAUUUCGUGUCGAUUCUCAGUAGGGAAAGCAAUAGAGUUCAAGGGUGUAAACAGCAAGUCAAAGCUUUUAGCUAAAAUGUCUCGAUAUCAUAAAACGUGCCCAUCAAAACACUUAAGGGUGGGAGCUUACUCCAGCGUGAAAACGUAUCCUAACACCAUCAUCAUAAGCGGUGUAGCGAAGUCUAGAAUGCAAACAAACUACAUCGACAAAUUCUUGAAAGCGGAACCAGUGAAUACCUGAUCGAGCAGAAAGUUUUUGCAGUAGGAUGAUCUGAAACAUAAUGAAGAAUACUGUAGAGAUCUUGAGAAAACAGGGUCUUGAUUACUCGCACAUUGUUGGUCUAUACAUCUUCUGGUGAAGUAUACAUUUAAUCUCAUUCACCGACUACAAAUAGCGGUAUUCCCCUGAGGAUAAAUCAGAUUUGACUUCAUGUUAGGUGUCAGGUCUCAAAAAAAAAUAAAAAAAUACACAUGCCAGCAAAUGUGCAGUUUUUCUUCGCAAUGGUAAAACAGUUCAUUUUGUUAUGCACAUGCAGGAUUCAUGGAGUACCAAAUUACUCACCAGCCUCCAUGUCUUGAGAAAUAAUCAUUAUCAAGAGAUAUAGCAAGUGCAACAGCUACUGCUCUUUCUGAUAGGCUUAAUGGGCGUGCUACAUCCAACUCUUCAAUCUACAUUGAAAAAGAAACCAAAACAAUUGUGAAUCAUCUGCCACUGGUCGCAACACAUGUCAUCUUGCAUUUCUAGCUCAUCUCAAAAUGUUCUCAAGACACUUUCACAUGUAACAACCAAUAAACUAUUCAAGAUAAGUUCAAUAGACAAGUUUGAGUCUUCCCACGCCAGUCUCAUCAUCACAUCAUCAAAAUAGGGGAGUUUUUUUUUAAUAAAUCUUUAUUUUUCUUUUUGCUUUUUGGUUGGGUCAGGAGGUGAGGGAUCACUUAUGAAUAAUUGGAAAAAUAAAUGAAGGUUUAAGAUGUUAAAACAGGUGCUCCCACAUAUGAGUGAUUGGAAAAAAAAAUUAAGGCUUUAAGAUUCAGUAGAGUUGCUUUACCCCUGUAACAGGACAAAUACUAGUAUCAGCAUUCCCGAACCGAAUCACAUACUGGCCAGCAUCAGUGAAUAUCUGUCACACAAACAACAAAACAUUAGUUCUUUGCAAUAAAAUUGCUGAAAACUGAGGAAUUAUUUCAACAGAACCAAAAAAGAAUAUCAUAGAAAUGUGUUCCCGGCCACCAUGAGCUUGCAUAUCAUUUCAAAUCUAUAGACGCCCAUUUUUAAAAAUAUUUUGUCAGUAAUCACUGAAAGUGAUGAACUGUAAUAUGAUAAUGCAGCAAAAGAGACGCAUAGUAUUUAUAAUUGGCAUGCCACAAUGUGAGAGAAUAAGACAUGAGAAACAGCAAGAAAUGCACAACUUUGACCGUAAAGUAUCUCCGACCAAAGAAGACAAAUAUAAUUUAUCUUAGAAAGUAGACACAAUACUUCACAACAAAGUAAUAAAGCAUUUUUCCUGUUACCGUGAACCAUUCUGCUUCAUGUAUCCUGAGAUAAUUAGCACACUCAACCAGAGGGAAAAAAAAAGGAAGAAGGAAAAUCACCUCAAAACCAAAACCUCUCCAAUCACGAUCUAUCUGAGCCAGCACCUUCCCAUCGAUGUCCUUCAAAGUAAAUGUCCAAUUCCAAAAGCCAGGAUUUUCAACAACAGCAAACUGCUUAUUCCUACAACAUGUGAUAAACAUGUUCUAAGUCAUAAAAUAAGCUAAAGUCCAUUUAACAACAUUAUUUAUCUGAUACAACGGAUCAAAGUGGGUGCAUUCAAGAGUCAGAAGUGUUUCCAGCAAGUCAUUUAGAUACUAGACUUGGAAAUAUUUAGACGCUAUAGCGGCCACAAGUCAUUACAUUUCUGCAGAGAGUAACGAACGCUUCAGUGUUAGUGGCUCACUUUUACACCAAGGUGUGUUUGGUAAUUGUUUUCCAAUUUUCCUAUGUUUGGUUGGUCAAAAUUUUAAAAAACAUAUUCUUAGGAAAACAAACUCCUUAAAAAUGAGGAAAUUGACUUCCUUAAUGGAAGUAGGAAAAACAAGUUGCAUAAGGACAUUCCAAGUUUAUUGUCGACCAUCUCUCCAUUUAAUAGAAAAUCCAGGAGGUGUGGUAAAUUUCAAGAACUUGAUAUUAUCAAACCACCCAUACUCGCUAAACAUAACUUUUCCUCUUUCACACUAUAGAUAGUGAGAUCAAAAUAUGUUAAGUUUAGGAACACAAUUAACUUCAGUUUACAUGUAAAAACCUUAAUCUAUUCAAUGAACCAUGAAAGUUAUUCAACCAAUCCACAAUUCCUUAAGUAAAUCCAUGUUACUGACUCCACGUAAUUGAAUCUUCAAACCAUACAACCCCUCGAAACAAGAGAUUUGAGGGACAGAGAGAUAAUUUACGACUGACAUGAAUACGUGGAAAUAUUGCAAAAAGGAGAUUACCCCAAGUAAAGAUCAUAAAUUCUCCUCCAGAGAUGCCAUCUUCUGUGGACAACACCAACCUCCUGGAAACAUUUACGACGAGAGCUUAAAACUACUGGAACAUAUGACCUAAAAAUUGACAAUUCACGGGAAUGGCUUGCAUAAAUGCAUACUUCUCCAUUUAUCUCUGCAUAAAUUGAGCUGUUGAUCCACCAAAAGGGCCUCCGAACCUUAUUUGAUCAGUACAGACAGAUAAUUAUAAAUUCUGGGUAUACAUAUAUUCUGAAAUUAGAGCUAAUUGAAUACCUCAAUGGACAAUACAAGACGCUGUAUUAAAUUUCUUACCUUAAAGAGCUCAUUGCCAAGGCCGUCAGUUACGUAAGCCACAAAUGGGCGCCUUGUACGAAGAAACUACAACAAAGAACAACACAUUUAGGUGAAAAGAUAAUAAAAAUUAUAAAAGUUCCGGUGCACACUAAUAAAAGAAAAAAAGCAUCAGCUAGCUGCCAGUGUACGGUAUUAGUUAGCAGACAAUAAAUGCAACAAGAUGCAGCUUCACUUGUGAAACCUGAUAAAAAUGCAAGGUUCUCAGAAGCUCUCUUUCAUCUAUGAUGCUCUCUCUUCUUUCCUUUUUUUGGGGGGAUAAGUAAUAAGAAACUUUUUACAAAUGAAAGCUGCACUGAGCCUGUGCUUCAACAGAUAAUUACAGAGAGUGAAAUUCUCCUUAUCAGAUUAAUCAUUGCAUCCACAAUCUACAUCACGUAGAAUGGUAGGUUGCACCAGAAAGCUUAAAGACAAACGUAACUAGUUUAAUUCAAGAAUUCUGUGAGAAUAUUCAAACAGGAGCGAAGAAAAUGAACUGGAAAAACAUCACAUUGUGGCUCUUUAUUGGAUGUUGUAGCUAAUGAUCAUAUUCCUUCUCCACACAACGGAUAUUUUAAUUUGGUGAAGAUACCUUUCUCCAUGAUUAUAUAUGGGGGAGUGCAUUAUACUAGCCAAUAACAUGAGAAAUACCUACACUGUAAAAGAACCCUCGUGUCAUAUCUAUCCUAAUACGUCACCACCAUUCAAUAUCAACUUUUCGUAUUCAAACUCCUAUUAGCCCACUCUCCCAUACAGAGUUUCUGUCACCUCCUAUUUUGCAGCCUUCAGCACUUACUCCGGCGUUAAUCAUAUUCUCUACAACAUAUUCAAUGACAUUGGUAACACUUCCCAACAAAAGAGGGUGGAUAUGCAUCUGUGGAUCAGUCAACCACUCUACCAGCAUGAAAGAAGACCAACUACAUAAAUGCGAACAUGUUUUAUUGAUCUCAGUAUAACAUAUAAAUAUGCCGCCACUUUCCCGUAUCGAAUUUUCAUCUCCAACAAGAUGCAACUUGCAGUUUCAUAUACCCAGACAUGAUUUCUACAGGCAGAAUCACAAUCACUACUCUAGUGUUGAAGCCCUCACUCUCCAGUUUAUUGAUGCCAACUCCAUAAAUUUCUAUAUAGACUAUUUGCUUGUUAUACUUGUCAACACAACCAACACUUAAUGCAUGCUCUUCUCCUUUUACCAAGGGAUAGCUGGAUAUGGUUCAUAAAGCUACACAUGCACCCAAUGCAAAUUCAAUCAGCUAGACAUAAAUUACAUUUAAAUCACUGAACCAUGCUAAUCAUCUAAAACAAUCACUCGGCCUCUACAAUCUUUGACCAUUGAGGGGAAAUUAAAUUGAUGACACCAACUCUUUGUCCUCCAAAUUCAUGCAGUCGCGAGUCACCCUCCGGGUUUUUACUCCCAAUAAACUUCUACUUAGCCAAUCCAAUCCAUCUUAGACUUCUCAAUCUCAUAUAAACAAAUCAAGACAUGUAUGUGAUGUUCAAAAAGUGCAUAGUUGAUUAAAGAUGCAUUACAUGCAUAUAAUCAACUAGAAAAUUACAAUAAAGAUGAUGAUUGACCAUGUCAGUGAUGUAAAGUUCUGUGAAAACCAUGUGCAUGAUACAUGUUCAUAAAUAUAAGUAAUUAGUCUCUCCUCUGAAUUUCUCUACAGUACUGCCGGAUCAUUAAGUUAAAAACAUUCUUUCAUAGCCUCAUCGAGAACCCAAACAAUAAUAGAAAUACAAGCUACUUUUUGAACAAAAGGUUAAAUGUGACAAACAAAUCAAAAGUAGAUAGCAAAACGAAGAACCAGAAGUACCUGUCUUGCAAGGAGAUUACUUUGUUCACGAAUGAAACCUACAGGCUAGAAAGACAAUAUACAAGUAAGAACUAAUUUAUCAAUAAGGGAAAUUUUGUUAUAUCAAACUGUCUAUGCAAGCAGUAAACUGCAGUGAGAGAACUAGAAGGCAUUAGAGUUUACAUACCGAUUGUGGGAAGCAGACAUCCAUGACUGCAUAUCUGUUUUCCUGUAAAUUAUACAGAAAAUCAAUCACAAAACUCUGUAGUCAAAGUAUAUCAAAGAAAAAGUAGAUUAAAAAGAACAUGUUUAGAGUCAUCCAACCCCAAUAUCUCAACACCACAAUAAAACUCUAGAAGAGUUCUUCUGUCCCAAUUUGUGUGGCACUGUUCGACUGUCCAUGAAGUUUGAGAAACAAAAGAUAGACUUUUGAAAGUUAUAGUCUAAAACAAGUCUUAGACAUUUGUGUGACUAUAAAUCAUCUCAUAUUAGUAAAACAGGGAUUUUAAACUUAUAUUGAUUCAAAUAUGGAAAGAUGACAUUCUUUUUGGGUUAAAUUAUAAACUAUGCCACAUAAAUUGGGACAGGGGAGUAUAAUUAAAUUUUAGGGUUUACUACUGAAGUACAUAUUUUGGUUCUCUUUCUCUCUUCGGGGUCGUUUGGUAGAGUGCAUUAACAAAAAUAAUGCAUGCAUUACCUUUAUGUAUUAGUUGUCAUUGUUUGGUACACUUUUUCAUGCUAUGUAUGAUUAAUGCAAGCAUUAGUUACUCUAUUAUGUAUUAAAGAGUGUAUUACUAAUACCAUUGUUUUCUAGGUAUUAGUAAUGCAAAGGGAUUUAUGCAUGCAUUAAAAUGGUUAAAGACUCAAUUACCCCUCAAAAGCACUUUUACAUCUUUUUCACCACAAUUGUGGUGGAUAUUUUUGUAAAUAAAUGUUUUUAUACAAUGUGUACUAUUUUUAAUCCAUCAAACCAAACAAUGCAUAAAAAAUAAUUUAUGCAUAACUAAUACAAACAUUACUUAUGCAAGCAUUACUAAUACAUUCUAUUAGGCAUUAUUUUUUACACUCUACCAAACAACCACUUCAAGUAUUUUGGGUACUCAACAGUGUAGAUUGUUGAGGAGUUCAGAGGAACUCAACAAAAGAAUGAGCCCGGAGAGCACAGAGUAGGUUAAGUAGGAAGAGAAAUGGGCUUGAAGAAAAAAUACUGCUCUGAUAGUUUGAGUUGUGAGAGAAACCCAGAGUGAGCGAAUACACAAGAUAAAAUAUACAGUUGGGCCAAAAAUUAGAGAAUAUAGAGAACAUGAUUGCAUCAGACUUGAAUAAGGAGUUCCCUAAACUUAAGCUCCAAUUCCAUAUGAACGAAUGUAAGCUGUAGAGGUGGGUGUUCGGUUCUUUCGAACUUCGGUUUUCAGUUAUUCAUAAGGGUGUACCAAAUACCAAACCAUUUUUUCUUUCAAAUUCAGUUCGGUUCGGUUUGAUUUUUUUCUAAUUUUGGUUCUUCAGUUUUUUCUAAUUGAUCAUUCCAUAUGCCCAAAUUAGUUGAUGGAAGUGUGACUUUGGUUCCGCAAAGCCUCUAGUGCUCAUUCAACAGCCACAUAUGACAGCAUGAAGAACUUGAGCAGCCACCCAAAUGACUUUAAAAGAUUAGUAAUCUAGAACCCUUUGACCAAGCAAAUAGAUACAAAAUAAUAAUUGCAAUACCAAUAAUGUUGUUCAUAAGAAUAAAUUAGUAAAGCCACAAACGUACUUGCUCAAAACCAAGCAUAAGAUUAGCCCACUCUAUAUCUCUUGUUAUCAGCAAGUUAGAUCUUGCAAAGAAGAGGUGCAACCAUGGCCUGAAAGAAGAAAGAUGUUGGAAUUUCGGUGCUUUUUACACAUUCCAACUCUAAACAGAAACGAAGGCAACAAGUCUACAUUUUCUGAUUGACAACAAUAGCAAUAUACAUCUACAUGUUUAAGCAGGAAAGGUAACAAACUACAAUGAAAUUUUCAGCCUAAAAUAAAGAGUUCAUAAACUAAAAAGACACGUUCCAGCCAUGUCUGUAAAGGAAAAUAUAGAGUGACUCUGUAUCGUACCCUAGACAAAGCAACUUAAAAUAUGCCCAGGGUUGUUGAUGGAAGUGCGAUUUUGGGUCAGCAAAGCCUCUGGCGCUCCCCUUAACAGCCAGGGAUACCAGUAUUUGAGAUGAAGAACUUAAGCAAUAACCAAACUGACUUUAAAAUGAUUAGUAAUUCAGAACCCUUUGACAAAGCAAACAGAUACAUAGUUCCUUAAGCACGAAAAUAACAUUUUAAAGAUAUAAUCAAUGAGCUGAAAAUAUGAGGAUUUCGAGAUUCUGUCCCUCUAAAGGGAGCAAGGUGACUAGAGCACUGAGUAGGGUCAAAGAUCUCCCGUGAAGUAAAUGCAAAACCAGUUGCAGAGCAAACACUUCUUAUAAUGCAUGAGCAAUAGUAGACACAUUACUCAUUAGAGCCAUCAGUUAGGAAGUAAACAACCUAGUCAGAUACUGAGCACACCUAUUCAAAUUAAAAGAAGCAACAAAGACAGAAGUGAUUGGCCAUUUUGCAGAUACAAGACCAAUUAAAGCUAUAACUUGGGAAUCCAGUUCCAUGUUUGGGGGCAUAUAUGUUGAACAUAAAAUUCUACAUUUCUUUUGCUAUGAAUGCUAGAAGAGUUUGACAACUCUACCUCCUCAACUGAUGUUGGCUCCAAAAUACCUGUCACAGAUUGGCUUGUAGGUGGUUGCUUGAGAACUGGAUUGACUUUCUUGUGAGGUGUCACUUCAGGAAUGGAGGCACCUGAGAACAUUUUUUUGAACCCAACUUGGAAAAAUGUGUCAAAACCUGUUGUUCCUCUCUGGUCUACAGUAUUUCUCAAUUUUCUUUUUGUUUUUUCCAAAUCUUUGUUUCUUUUUGUCAGCAAGCCAACGCUGCACAGAAGAAGCCCUUUUCAAAUCAGGACCAUCUCCCGACCUCUUCCCAUAUUGUCGAGAUGCAACAAUUCCACCUGGUCCUGCCCCUUGGGCAAUGCCAGUAACAAAUCCAGGCAGCUUAGCCCUCCCUAGCAUAUUUCCUUCAAAGGUCAAUUCUCUACAACGAUUUCCAGUUUGAUUAAGCGAAGACGAUAGGUAUCUUCUUUGUAACUCUGAUUGGACAGAAGAACUGUUUUUAACAUCAAAAAUCCCAUUCCAACGCUCAUUUGUCCCCAAACUUUCUGAUGAUCUACACUUGUAUUGUCUAGCUAAAAAACGAAAACUCUUUCUCCAGCUCAUCUAUGAUAAAAUAACCUUAAUCAAAUACAUUAUUAAUCAAUAUGAAUACGCAUUCUUAAGUAGUAAAAACAUAGCAAAAUUCAAUUACUCAUAACUCGUAAUCAGGAACGGAGCUAGCUUAUCAGUCAAACCUUACAUUUGUACUAAGAAAUUACCAAUUUAAAACCCAGUAACUCUAAAGGACUAAAACCCGAACAAUUAAACUUCAAAUUUUGUCUUCGCCUCUAUAGCAUAUUCAUGAAAUUGAAACAUAAACUCAAACUGUAAAGCUUUAAAUUAGUCAUUAGCCCAAUUGUACCAUCAGGUGAAUUUCUCUUAAAUAUCCACUUGCUACUAAUGGGUUUAUAACUUUUAGGAAAUUCAUACAUGUCCCAAGUGUGAUUAGAAACUAUAGUCUCUUACUCACUUUUAAUAUCCUCUUCCAAAAUAUAACAUCUAUUGAUCUCAUUGCUUCAUCAUAAGUCUUAGGAUCUUUCUUCUAUUAAAUAGAGAGACACUAAUUCAUUAUUAAAACAUUUUUUAAAAUUUUCAGUUAAGAAAGAAUGAUUAAAUCAAGACAAAACUUUUCUCAAUUUUACGUCUCUUACUCCUUUUAAGAUCAUUUUCAUGUUGAUUAGAAAUAACUCUAGAAGAUGGUACAACAUGAGAAUUAAUAGACAUAGACGUAGAAGCAUUAUUUUGAACAUCACUCGGCACAUUCUUUUCAAAGGAAAAAUAUUCUCAAAAAGUUUCGCAUCUCUAUAUUCACAAAUUGAAUGAUAAUUUAGACACAUAAAUAUAUAUGAAGCAGUGUAACCAAUAAAGGACAAUAUCAGAAUUCUUAGGUAGACCAACCUUAACAAAACACCCCACAUUUUCUGAAAUUACAAAUUAGGAGAAAAUCCUUUCUACAACUCAUAUGAUGUCUUGUUUAACUUCUUAUGGGGUAUUCUAUUAAAAAUAUAACAUGCAGACAAGACUGCUUUUCCCCACAUAAUUGUCAGAUAGUCCUGAGCAUAAAAACAUAGAGUCAUCAUUUCAUUAAGGUUCUAUUCGUUCGUCUACACAAUUUUUUUUGGAGUAUAUGGAGCACUAACCUCAUGUAUAAUACCAUUUUUCUCACAGAAAUAUUCUAGAGUUGUAGUACUAUAUUGACCACCCCAAUCAGAUCUAAACCUAUUGAUUUUACUACCUAAUUGAUUUUCCACUUGGGCUUUUGAUUUCAAAAGCAUGCUUUCAACAUCAUCUUUAGACUUAAGAAGAUAGAUCUUAAUGUAUCUAGAGAAUUCAUCAACAAAAGUAAUGUAAUACUUUUUCCCACCUUGGCUAACGGUGUUCUUUAAAUCUGCUAAAUUUGAAUAUAUUAGUUCUAGUAAUUUAGCCUUUCUACUAAUAAAAGAUUUGAAAGGUUUCUUUGCAUGCUUUGGUUCUACAUACAUAGGACAUUUACAAAAAUCAUCAGUUUUUAUCAAUGGAAUUAAUUCCAUUUUCUGAGCCUUUUAAUAGAGGAAAUAUUAACAACACCUAGUCUACCAUGCCACAAAUUAAUAGACUCAACACUAUAAGAAGAAUUUGAAAUGCUUGCAUUAUGGACAAUCUCUUGAACAAUGUUCAGUACAAAUAAUCCUCUACUAAGAUAUCCUUUCCCAAAGAAGUCUCCUCCAUGAGAAAUAAUUAUUUUAUCAGCUUCAAAAAUAAGUUUAAGGACUAUUUUAUUGAGAAGUGCUCUGGAAACUAAUUUUCUAUGGAGGGAGGGAACAUACAAAACAUUGUCCAAGGAUAAUGUCUUUUCAGAAGUUGAUUUAAGCAAAACUUUUCCUUUACCCAUUACUACAGCAAUAGUGGAGUUACCGACAUGUACACAACCUCCAUUAGUAGACUCCUCAAAGUCAUGGAAUAAAUCUUUAUUGGCAAAGAAAUGCCUUGAGGCAUGUGUAUCUAACACCCAAUAAAUUUUAUUUGCUUCCAAAUUUUCAUCAACGACUAUAACAACAACCACUUCAUUACCCUCAACAUGAUUUGUUUGGACAUCACUUCGUCCUUCCUUCUUUGAGUCCCUUUUCUUUGAUAGCACCCGGAUUCUUUGUGACAAAAAUUUCCACAAACAAAAUAAGAUCCCUUAAAUUUUUGAAUUUGACUCUCCGGCUAGUUGAAUUUUAUUUUUCUUCACAAUUUCCUUUUUUGAGAAUCUCUUCUUCUUGCCUAUGAACCUUUCUUUCACGAUAGUACUAGAAGAUUUAAUAAGAUUAACUAAAGAAGAAUUAAGCAAAAUUCUUCCAUCUUAUCUUUGAGAUGGUUUUCCUCUUUAGUCCUCAUGUGACUAAUAACUUUUCGUAGGGUUAAAUUUGUUUUCUUAUAUUUUAAUUGAUUUCUAUAAUUACUCCAAGAUAGUGGAAAUUUUUCAAGAAUAACAUUAGCCUAAAAUAUCUCACAUAUCUUCAUGUCAUCAUUGAGAACAUCCACAGUAAAGUUCACAUAUUCGUGAAUUUAUUCCAUUAUUGGUUUAUUAUCAAACAUUUGGAAUUUAAUCUACUGACCAACACCAUAGUUUUUCUUCUGGUAUCAUCAGCAUUAUAUUUCAUUUCCAAACUAUCCCAUAUUUCUUUCGCAGAUUUAAAGUUUAAAAAUAAAUCAAACAAAGGAUUAGUCAUAUGAUUUAACAAAUAUCCUCUAACAAUUUUGUUAUCCUUUUCAAACUUCUUUUUAACAACAUCAUCAACAGUUAUAACAUUGCUAGAAUCAGUAUUAGUAUUAGAAUUAUUCAUAGAAUGUUGUUUAAAUAAAACCUAAUAAAGUUCUUAUUGUUCAAAUAAUAUUAAAAGUUUUUGUGCAAUCCUUUAAAAUUAUUUCAAUCCAAGGCUCAAGUUUUGACAUAUCAUUAAAAGUUUUGUUCAAAGAAAUAGACAUUCAUCAAUAUUGUAUGUUAGGAAAAUCGGUUUCAUAUUGUUAAAAAAAUACUACAAUCUUGAUAUUAGAAUGGAAUUAUAAAAUAGUAAAUAAAUUAUCACACACAAUGUGUUUGGCAAGCCACUGCCUUUAAAGCAAUUUCGGCUUGACUUCAGUGCAAAUCAAUGUAGCCGAUCGCUCCCAAAGGCUCCACAGUUACACUCAAACACAUGCAGUCGUGGCUGAAAGUUUGGAGGUUGAUCCAAACCAAUUGCCCAAAAAAUAUUUUAAGAAUAAGAAAGAGAAGAAAAGAGGGAAAUUAUUUUCUCUUCUUUUUGUUAUUGUUGUAGUGUUUUCUUUGUUGGAAUUAAUGCAUCAAUGUUUAGUCUUCAAAAAAUGUCUCUUAGUGUUUCAAGAAGUCUUUUUAGGAUUUCUUAGUACAUGUAUCUAGUAAAUUGUGAUACAUGUUUAGUUAUUUGUGCAAGACUUUUUUUUUCAAUUUUGAGUAGUAUAAAUAGUGAUGUCGUUGAUGAUUGUAAUCAUGUCAAGUGGCCUUACGUAGCCUAUAAUAAACAUGAGCAUUUUCUAAAGAUAUUAUUUUUCCUUCCAAAUUUUCUACAAAUUGGUCUCAGAGCAGGUUUUCGUUCCUAAUCUAGGGUUAGGUGAAGAAAAAAAAUAUGGCAUCCAAAAAGAAUGAAGGUGCUGAAUCUUCAGUUGUUCUUACUCCAUAUUUUGAUGGAACAGAUUUUGAAUACUGGAAGAUAAGAAUGAGAACACAUUUGAAAGCUGAAGGUUUUUGGACUAUUGUUGCAGAUGUCUUUGAAGAGCCAGAAAACGAUGGUGAUCUUACAGCAGCAGAGAUGAAAAAUAUUGAGGCUAAGUGUCGUCAAGAUACCAAAGCCUUAAGCAAAAUCCAGAUGGGAGUCUAAAGACUAAAUUUUGCAAAAAUUGCUACUUAUGAGACUGCAAAGAAAGCUUGGAAUUUUCUGGAAACUGAGGUGUAUGGUGACGAAAAGAUAAAUCUUCAAACUCUUAGAAGAGAGUUUCAAAAUUUAAAGAUAAUCUGAAAAAUUGAUGAAUGUUGCACAAGAGUCAUGAAUAUUGUUAACGAAAUGAGAAAUGACAGUGAUACAAUUUCUGGCCAACAAGUUGUGGAAAAGAUUCUAAUUAGUGUCACAGAGAAGUAUGAGUACAUCGUUCCUAUCACUGAGGAGACGAAAGAUCUUUCUAAGCUUUCCAUCAAAAGAGCUAGUAGGAUCAUUUCGUGCACACGAGAAGCGAAGAUUUUUUCGUAAAGAUCAACACAAAUAGACGGUUUCCAGUCUAAAAUAAAUGAGAAUUCUCAAAAUUUCUCAAAAAAUCAUCAGAAAAUAAAUCAAAAGCCAAAAAAUGAAGCAACAUCAUGAUGGUUCUUCGAAGAAGGUUGAAGAAAAAGGUGAGAAAAACUCUAGUUUUUUGUAAAAUUUGCAAAAAGACUCAUCACAAUGCAUAAAAAUGUUGGCACAAAGACAAGCCCCAAUGUAACUUUUGUAAAAAGUUUGGCCAUGUUGAAAAGGAUUGUUGGCACGAGAAACGGGAGCAAGUAAAUUUUUGUGAAAAACAUGAGGAAGAAAGGGAAGAAAAUCUUUUCUUUGCUUCUAAAUCUGAUGCUUCAACAAAAAGCAGUGAAUGGUAUGUUAAUAGUGGUAGUACUAAUCAUAUGACUGGAGAUGAAAAGGUUUUCCUCUCAAUUAAUAAUAGCAUCACUACUAAACUGAAGAUGGGGAAUGGAGCCUUAGUUGAUGCGAAAUGUAAAGGUACUAUUUCGAUCAACAUGAAAGGAUGCGGCAAGCAGAUUCAUGAUGUUAUUUAUGUUCCUGACUUGGAAGAAAAUUUGCUUAGUGUUGGUCAACUCAUGAAAAAUGGUUAUUCUCUUGUGUUUAAAGAUAAUUAUUGCAAGAUUUAUGAUAAAAUUGAGCCAAAUCAAGUCAUUAUUGAAGUAAAGAUGAUAAAAAGAAACUUCCUUUUGCAAUUUCAUUACAAUGCAUUAAAAAAUGAAAUUGUUGAUGAUUCAUGGCUUUGGCACAAAAGAUUUAAUCACUUGAAUUUUCAUGGUUUAAAGCUUCUCAAGCGAAAGGACAUGGUGCAAGGCCUUCCAGAGAUACACAGUGAGGUUGAUACAUGUGAAAUUUGUAUAAUGGGAAAGCAACACAAGAAGUCUUUUCCAAAAGGGGUGUCUUGGAGAGCAAGUAUAUUUUUGGAACUAAUUCAUACCGACAUUUGUGGACCAAUGAAGACUCCAUCUCUUGGAAGUCAACGGUAUUUUCUAAACUUUAUUUAUGAUUUAUCAAGAAUGACUUGGGUUUAUUUCUUGAAAGAAAAGUCAGAAGCAUUUGCUACAUUCAAGAAAUUUCAAGUCCUUGUUGAGAAGCAAAAAGGUUGCAGCAUCAAAACCAUUCGCAGUGAUCGAGGAGGUGAGUACACAGGUCAUAAAUUUUAAGAAUAUUGCAAAAAUGAAGGUAUUCAAAAGCAACUUACAGCAGGGUAUACUCCUCAACAAAAUGGUGUAUCUGAAAGAAGAAAUAGAACAAUUGUUGAAAUGGCCAGAACUAUGAUAAAUGAGAAAGGGCUGCCAAAAUAUUUUUGGGAAGUAGUGCAUACAGCAGUUCACAUCCUUAAUAGGUGUCUAAAAAAGUCACUAAAGGACAAGACACCAGUUGAAGCUUGGAGUGGAAUUAAACCUUCUGUAAGUCAUUUUAAAAUUUUUGGGUGUAUUUUUAUGCUCAUGUAACUUCUGAGAAAAGAACAAAAUUGGAUGAAAAAAGUCAAAAAUGUGUCUUUCUUGGUUAUAGUGAUGUUACAAAAGGAUAUAGACUUCUCGAUGUCAAAACUAAAAACUUGUUGUUAGAGAGAUGACAUUUUUGAUUAAACACAUGGAAUUGGGAGGAUAAAACGAUAGAGAAUACUGCUAUCAUAUCUUCAAAUCAACAAGAGAAUGAGAAAGAUGAAGAUGUCUCUCCCGUGAGUAACAAAAAUGUUUAGUGACAUUUAUCAAAGAUGUAAUUUUGCCGUUGUUGAGCUAGAAAAUUAUGAAGAAGCAAUAAAGCAUGAUGUUGGAAGAAAGCCAUGGAAGAAGAAAUUCGAAUGAUCGAAAAAAUAAUACUUGGAGCUUGUGGAUAUUCAUAGAGAAAGAGAAGUUGUAAGUCUAAAAUGGAUUUAAAAAAUCAAACUCAAUCAGGAAGGAAAUAUUCAAAAGCACAAAGAAAGGUUGGUUGCGAGAGGCUUCACGCAAAAACCAUGUAUUGAUUUUUAUGGAACUUUGUCUCUAGUUUCUCGUCUUGAGACAACAAGAACUGUAAUUGUUGUUGCUGCACAAAAGAAAUGGAAGAUAUUUAAACUUGAUGUUAAAUAGGCAUUUCUGAAUGGAAAACAUGAUGAAGAGAUUUAUGUUGAGCAACCUCAAUGAUUUUUUUUUCAAGGGGGAGAAAAAAAAGGUGUAUAGACUAAAAAAAGUUCUUUACGGGCUGAAGCAAGCUCCAAGAGCCUGAUACAAUGAAAUUGAUACAUACAUUCUGAAAAAUAAUUUUUAGAGAAGUAAAGGUGAAGACACUUUGUAUGUGAAGAAAGAACAUGGAAGCAUUAUCAUUGUUUGUCUCUAUGUGGAUGAUUUGCUCAUUACAGAAAAUGAUGUAAAGAUGAUGCAAAAUUUCAAACAAGAUAUGAUGCAAGCUUAUGAAAUGAAUGAUCUUGGAUUGCGGAAUUAUUUCUUGGGCAUCGAAGUUUCUCAAGUGAAAGAAGGAAUUUUCAUUUCUCAAAAGAAGUAUACUAAAAGUAUUGUUCAAAAAGUCAAAAUGAUGGAUUGCAGGUGUGUGGCCAUACUAUUAGCAGCAAAUGAGAAGUUUAGAAAAGAUGAUGCAGAAAAGAAAGAUAAUAGCUCAAUUUUUAGGAGUUUGAUUGGAAGUUUGCUAUAUCUUACUUCAACAAAGCCAGAUAUUAUGUUUGUUGCUAGUUAAUUAACCAGAUUCAUGCAAGCACCAAGUCAAGUGCCUUUUGGAGCUGCAAAGCGUGUUCUACGCUACUUGCAAGGAACAAGGGAUUAUGAGAGAAUGUACAAAUUUGGUAGAAAUUUUAACUUAAUUGGUUAUUCUGAUAGUGAUUGGGCUGGAAGUAUAGAUGACAUGAAGAGUACUUCUGGUUAUGCUUUCUUAUUUGGAUCAAGCAUUUGUUCUUGAUUAUCAAAAAAGCAAAGUGUUGUUGCUCAAUCCACUGCUGAAGCAAAUAUUUUUCAACAUCCAAGGCUACUUCUCAAGCAAUUUGGCUUAGGAGAAUAUUUGAAGACAUUGGUGAAAACAAAAAAAGGGGACUGUUCAGUAUUGUGAUAAUAAAUCAGCAAUUGCAAUUUCCAAAAAUCCAGUCAGCCAUGAAAGAUCAAAGCAUAUUUCCAUCAAGUAUCAUUUUAUCCGAGAAACACAAGAGAAAGGCGAAAUUCAGCUGCAUUAUUGUUUGACAGCUGAACAACUUCCUGACAUCUUCACCAAAGCACUUCCUAUAGAAAAAUUUGCUAUCUUCGAGAACGUAUUGGAGUUGUCAAGCAAAUGCACUAAGGGGGAGUGUUGUAAUAAAUUCAUUCAAUGUUAGUCUUCCAAAAUUGUCUCUUAGUUUUUGAAGAAGUCUUUUUAGAAUUUCGUAGUACAUGUAUCUAGUAAAUUGUGAUACAUGUAUUUAGUUAUUUGUGCAAGACUUUAUGUUUUCUAUUUUGAGUAGUAUAAAUAGUGAUGUAGUUGAUGAUUNNNNNNNNNNNNNNNNNNNNNNNNNNNNNNNNNNNNNNNNNNNNNNNNNNNNNNNNNNNNNNNNNNNNNNNNNNNNNNNNNNNNNNNNNNNNNNNNNNNNCCAAAGCUUCUACUCCACAGGCUUUUUCCCUAAUGCUCGUUAUUCUCUAUGGAUUGAUGGAAAACUUGAGCUUGUCGUGGUCCAUAUCAAAUACUUGAAAGGUACAUCUUAUUCCCAUUCCACUUGCCCUAAUGCAAAACAAAAAAAUCAUAGUUGGCCUCCAUUCCCCCUUCUAUGGUUGGCUUCAGUCUCUUGACUAAAGACACCGGGUUUCUCCUUUAUACUUAAGUGAUACUGAUACAUCUGUGUAUAUGGCCUUCUAGUAGAUAUAAGUUAUGUUCCUUUUUAGAAAGAAAUAAAAACAGAAUCAUGUUUCCCGCAGUUUUGGACGUGUUCCCUAAAGUUGUCUAACCAAAGUUGACAUAAGAAAAGAUUAAAGCAUCUUGUGCUGGCCCGGACUGGUGGUUCUUAUUCGAAGUAGCAUUUGCAUGUUUUUUAUGAAAAAAAUGGUUUUGCUAGUGUAGCCUUCGCCUGCUUAAGCAACAUGUCAACAGAAAAAGAAGAAUAUAGAUGCCGGUGGAGUCUACAUUAUUGGAGAUGGUUGUUACUGCCCCAUAUUUGGGAACUCUUAGAAUUUUAGUGUGACCCUUUUAUACCAAAUAUUUGAGGUCCUCCAAGAAACUUUUCAAUCUACAACACCUUAAAAUAUGAGUAACUCGUGCAUGAACAUAGCUCAUUGUUGUAUGACAGUGUGUAAUGCCCAGAGUGUGAAUGGGCCAGCUUUGACCUAUUUAUCAGUGAUAACUAUUGUAAGGGAAUUCUUCAGCUUAAUGGUAUAAAAGUUCAGAAAUGUUGCAUGUUGGCUUGUUGAUAGCGAUUUGCUUUUUACUGUUCUUCACAAGUUGAUUUGCUGAGUAUUUCAAUGACAGGUUCUUGUGGAGGAAAAAAUGCAAGCUUUGCUAUAUCAAGGCACUACAAGCGUUUUGAUGUUUUGUAGAAGCAGAAGCUAAUAAGGCAGCUGCGAAGUUUGAUAAUGCUUCCAUCGACUUCCAGUUGAAUUCUAUAAAAAGGAAGGACUUGCUCCGAUUCCCGGGCUAAACUUCCUAUUACAAGUGGUAAGUGUGUGAUUAUCUUUUUUCUCAUCUUUGUUACGUUCUUCUUGUUAUUCCCUCUCACCAGCUUAAUGUAGCCACCGAUUUCAGUUUGAUAACCAUUUUAACAUACUAUUCAUAUGCAGAUGUCCCUGAGGAUGUGUAAUAAUAAGGAGCACAUUUCCGAUCUCCAAUCUCUUUACUUGUCUUUGGUUUAAUGAAGUGGACCGUUUUACUCCAAGGACCAAAUAAGCUUUGCCAUUGUAAGAGAUAAGAUCAUGUCAAAGACAAAUUGGACUGUGAAUAUGUUCUUUGACUGCGAACGGCGUAACUUUGUGAUUCAGGUGAUCUUCAUAUCUUUACCAUCUGGACUUUCAGUUCAAAACAGCCUUCAUGCACUUGAUCACUUGAAGAUUCACGCAAAAAGUUCAUUUUAUGCUAAUGCUUGCGCCUGAUAUGAUUCAAGUAGAACAACAGGCAAUACGUAAUUGCUAUCACCGUUCCACAUUAUUGAAUUAGAUGAAUUUAUAGUAAAAGCUACUUGUCAAGAUGAGUUUUUCCAUGUACUUCCUGCAUGCUGUAUACCAAACUAUGUAAAUGCUUAUUUCAGUCGCAACGAGCUGUACUCUCUGUUAAAUGCUAGAUAAUAAUCAUCUGUCAUUUUCUUUUGCCAUCUGCAGGGGUAUCACAGAGACAUUCUUGGGCGCCUGACUCCACCUCGUGCAAGUAUACUCGUUCAUCCUCACCUCCUGUAAUUCUUGAAACCCGGCAUACCUCACCAUUUGUUCCAACGUCAACUGUCAUAACCACUCCAAUCAAAAAGAUUCCCACGAAGCGUGGGAGAGAGAGGAAAUCCAAGCG
RNAcentral lists this long non-coding RNA (27700 nucleotides) under Solanum lycopersicum (tomato). RNAcentral's name for it is "long non-coding RNA (SLYC_LNC001256)". The record is from RNAcentral. Lineage: Eukaryota; Viridiplantae; Streptophyta; Magnoliopsida; Solanales; Solanaceae.